GGAGACGUGGCAGAGUGGUUGAAUGCACCGGUCUUGAAAACCGACAAGGGUUCGUAGCCCUUCGAGAGUUCGAAUCUCUCCGUCUCCU
This 88-nucleotide transfer RNA is filed under the name Psychrobacter fozii. RNAcentral's name for it is "tRNA-Ser". It matches the Rfam family "tRNA". Rfam says of the family: Transfer RNA (tRNA) molecules are approximately 80 nucleotides in length. Their secondary structure includes four short double-helical elements and three loops (D, anti-codon, and T loops). Further hydrogen bonds mediate the characteristic L-shaped molecular structure. tRNAs have two regions of fundamental functional importance: the anti-codon, which is responsible for specific mRNA codon recognition, and the 3' end, to which the tRNAs corresponding amino acid is attached (by aminoacyl-tRNA synthetases). tRNAs cope with the degeneracy of the genetic code in two manners: having more than one tRNA (with a specific anti-codon) for a particular amino acid; and 'wobble' base-pairing, i.e. permitting non-standard base-pairing at the 3rd anti-codon position. Lineage: Bacteria; Pseudomonadati; Pseudomonadota; Gammaproteobacteria; Moraxellales; Moraxellaceae. The record is from RNAcentral.